Octodon degus (degu) is the source of this 1130-nucleotide RNA transcript. It is a transcript of the gene named actin-related protein 2/3 complex subunit 1B pseudogene, with no coding region annotated. The transcript has a single exon. Lineage: Eukaryota; Metazoa; Chordata; Mammalia; Rodentia; Octodontidae. The record is from RefSeq and is a predicted model, not a curated record.
CCCAGAGGAGCCAAACAGCUAUGAUCUAUCACAUCUUCCUGGUGAAGCCCAUCAGCUGCCAUGCCUGGAACAAGGACUGCACACAGAUCGCCAUCUGCCCCAACAACCACGACGUUCACAUCUACGAGAAGAGCAAGGCCAAGUGGACCAAGGUGCAUGAGCUCAAGGAGCACAAUGGGCAGGUGACAGGCACUGACUGGGCACCUGAGGGUAACCACACCGUGACCUCUGGCACAGACCGCAAUACCUACAUGUGGACGCUCAAGGGCAGUACAUGGAAGCCUACGCUUGUCAUCCUGUGGAUCAACCCUGCGGCCCGCUGCGUGCGCUGGGCUCCCAAAGAGAACAAGUUCGCUGUGGGCAGCGGCUCCUGCAUCAUCUCCAUCUUCUAUUUUGAGCAGGAGAAUGACUGGUGGGUAUUUAAGCUCAUCAAGAGGCCCAUCUACUCCACCGUGCUCAGCCUGGACUGGCACCCUAACAACAUGCUCCUGGCCGCGGGCUCCUGUGACUUCAAGUGCAAGAUCUUCUCAGCCUACGUUAAGGAGGUGGAGGAGCGGCCAGCCCCCACCCCAUGGGGCUCCAAGAUGCCCUUUGGAGAGCUGAUGUUCGAGUCCAGCAGCAGCUGCGGCUGGGUGCAUGGCGUCUGUUUCUCGGCCAGUGGCAGCCACUUCGCCUGUGUCAGCCACAACAGCACAGUGUGCCUUGCCAAUGCUGACAAGAAGAUGGCCAUGGCGACCCUGGCCUCUGAAACUCUGCCGCUGCUGGCCCUCACCUUCAUCACUGAGAACAGCCUGGUGGCAGUGGGCCAUGACUGCUACCCUGUGCUGUUCACUUACGACGGCACGGCUGGGAAGCUCAGCUUCAGCGCGCGCCUGGACGUACCCAAGCAGAGCUCUCAGCGCGGCCUCACGGUUGGGGAGCGCUUCCAGAACCUCGACAAGAAGGCAAGCUCAGAGGGCGGCACAGCAGCAGGUGCUGGGCUGCACUCGCUGCACAAGGUCAAUGUCAGUCAGAUCUCAGUGCUCAGUGGGGGCAAGGCCAAGUGCUUACAGUUCUGCAUGGAUGGUGGCAUGGGCAUCUGGGACGUGAAGAGCCGGGAGUCAGCUCUGAAGGACCUCAAGAUAAAGUGA